RNAcentral lists this ribosomal RNA (524 nucleotides) under uncultured bacterium. RNAcentral describes it as "bacterial SSU rRNA". It matches the Rfam family "Bacterial small subunit ribosomal RNA", at positions 15 to 518 of the family's 1533-position model. The record is from RNAcentral.
GAUUCUGGCUCAGGAUGAACGCUGGCGGCGUGCCUAAUACAUGCAAGUCGAACGAGGUGGAAGGGAGCUUGCUCCUGGAUGCCUAGUGGCGAACGGGUGAGUAACACGUAGGUAACCUGCCCUUAAGCUUGGGAUACCCAGAGGAAACUUUGGCUAAUACCGGAUAACAACAGAGGAGGCAUCUCCUUUGCUUGAAAGGCCCUUUACGGGGUCACUUAAGGAUGGACCUGCGGCGCAUUAGUUAGUUGGUGAGAUAACAGCCCACCAAGACGAGGAUGCGUAGCCGACCUGAGAGGGUGAUCGGCCACAUUGGAACUGAGACACGGUCCAAACUCCUACGGGAGGCAGCAGUAAGGAGUUUUCGGCAAUGGGGGAAACCCUGACCGAGCAACGCCGCGUGAGUGAAUGACGGCCCUAUGGGUUGUAAAGCUCUGUUGUAAGGGACGAAUGAUCCGCUUAGGAAAUGAAGCGGGUUUGACGGUACCUUACCAGAAAGCCACGGCUAACUACGUGCCAGCAGCUGC